Transfer RNA from Loxodonta africana (African savanna elephant), 71 nucleotides. It matches the Rfam family "tRNA". From Rfam's summary of the family: Transfer RNA (tRNA) molecules are approximately 80 nucleotides in length. Their secondary structure includes four short double-helical elements and three loops (D, anti-codon, and T loops). NCBI's taxonomy places the organism in Eukaryota, Metazoa, Chordata, Mammalia, Proboscidea, Elephantidae. The record is from Rfam.
GAAGUGGUGGUUCAAUGGUAGAAUUCCCACUUUCCAUGAGGGAGACCUGUGUUCAAUUCCCUGCCAAUGUA